Molecule: long non-coding RNA, 220 nt
Filed under: Setaria viridis
Lineage: Eukaryota; Viridiplantae; Streptophyta; Magnoliopsida; Poales; Poaceae
Description: long non-coding RNA (SVIR_LNC010889)
Source: RNAcentral
GAUUCAAACUCUACCAAUCACGUAGUUUCACGUCCCAUGAGCAUGUCAUGUGUGUUAAUCAUGAAUGCGUGCACAUUCAUGCUAUCUUGCAUAUCAAAUAUAGUGAGCUAAUCAAGAUAAGACACUGGUGCAUCCGCCGUAUAACCUAGCCCAAUUAAUCUAGUGUCCAAUAUAUUCCCACAGAUAAAAGGCCCAUCUUACGAUAUAUGCUCUACAUACC